CUCCGUAGCAAAGAGGUGUUUCAGCGCGAUGCGAGUUUUGGUUCUUAGGCUCGCUUUGAGAAUUUGAUUAAUAUUGUGGGGUUUUUUUACUCAGAAAAUGCGUAUGCCGGUUCACAAGGAAACUUUGUCAAAAUAUUCGGGUAGAUUACGACUUGUGGUACAACUUGAAAUGUCUUGAGACAGUUGUGCUUUUCAUGAUGAGUCUCGUGAUUUCUUCAGCCACUCAUUUUCUGAUUAAUUCUUACAAGUGGGUCAUUUCUGCGAACAGCUGAUCUCAUUUUGAUUCCAGUCCUAUUCUUAGAAGGACUUCCCUGGUGGCGCAGCGGUUAAGAAUCCCCCUGCCA
Delphinapterus leucas (beluga whale) is the source of this 344-nucleotide non-coding RNA. Lineage: Eukaryota; Metazoa; Chordata; Mammalia; Artiodactyla; Monodontidae. The record is from RefSeq and is a predicted model, not a curated record.